UUUGUUAUUCCACACUACGAGCUAGAGAGAAGAUUGUGAAUUAUUGUCAAUUAUUACACUUUCGAGUCGCUUGUAUGGCAUGGCCUGAGACAACCAAUCUUCAACCUUGAGACUUGAAACGUAUGAUGCCAUUUGGUGCCCCAAUUGAAAGAGAGACUUGGGUCCUAUGCUAACUUACGCUACAUCAACGGCUCGUGUCUAUAGUCUCGUGUCUUCUCCAGUUUUGGUCAAGAGUUUUCAUCAUUAGGUUAAUUACCGCUGCUCAAAUUUUAUCGCUAUGUCACCAUGCCGCGCCUGUUGGUGUUUUUCUGGUGGCCCGUGAACCUGGAAAUAAAGACAAUUCAUUCUUUUAUCAUAUCAAUGAUGGCUACCAUUACCACGAAUCUUUCAGAAGAGGCACCUCGUUACGGUGGCCGUGCCGUUUUGAUUCCAUAGAUGGGUUCGAACAUUCGAUGCCUCAUCGGGUUGAUCAUGUGUGUUAUCCCGACGAGUUCUACCCUGCCGAAUGUGAGCUAUGGAGAAACAUACUUCGCCGGUGUCGUCAGCUUGAUUACGCCCCCUUCGACCGCAUUAUCGAAGAAGAAUCUAAUGGAUACCACAUUGAGGUUAGGACUCGGUUUACCGACGCGAGAAUGAGGGAGGACUAGCAUGCGGGCCGAAAGGACUGCUAAUUACCCAGUAACCCCUGACACAUUGCGCUCACUUACUAGGAUCCUCUUAAACCAAGCGUACCGACUUAUCACAAUGACUAGAGACGGGUAAGACAACCUAUAUGCUGGGUCAGUAACUGACACACUCAAUGCACAUCAUGUCGUUUUCGCCUCACUUAGAAUGAUUGCAGAAAUGAUGCAAUUCGCUAUAUUUCAAUGUGAUGGCACAUUCAAAGUCUGGCUUACAGACGGAACAGGAUUUUUUGCAUAGUGGGAAUUCGGCGUAACCGAAUUAUACCCCUGAUGUGGGUGUUGAUGAAAACCAGGACGAGAGAAGCAUGGUAGCUGUACUAAGUCACUAAUGUAAUCAGCUUGGACCAAAUAGAAUGCUGAGACGAUUUAUAAUGGACUUUGAGGCCUCUGAAAUGGCUGGAGUUGAGAGUUUUCAACUGUCAAAUUCAAGAGUG
This is a long non-coding RNA of Frankliniella occidentalis (western flower thrips), 1117 nucleotides long. RefSeq lists it as uncharacterized. The record is from RefSeq and is a predicted model, not a curated record. Lineage: Eukaryota; Metazoa; Arthropoda; Insecta; Thysanoptera; Thripidae. The transcript has 3 exons.